CCGUACUAUGUGGGGAGUUAGCGGUGCCUUGUAACCUGCAAUCCGCUAUAGCAGGACAGAAUCCCCUUUGGAGGUAUAUCGGCAGUCGGUUCAGGGACUGCAUUUUGAAGCGUUGACCAUAGGGCUUCGUGCAAUACGAUUCGGCGAACCCCGUCAGGUCUGGAAGGAAGCAGCGGUAAACUGAUCAUUUGUAUGUGCCGCGAAAUUACCUUAUGCGAGCCGAAGGUGCAGAAACACCGGUUAUCGGGUAUCGAAAAAGGGUGUACGG
Molecule: signal recognition particle RNA, 268 nt
Filed under: Eubacteriaceae bacterium
Lineage: Bacteria; Bacillati; Bacillota; Clostridia; Eubacteriales; Eubacteriaceae
Also listed under: 1 other name
Description: signal recognition particle sRNA large type
Rfam family: Bacterial large signal recognition particle RNA
About the family: The signal recognition particle (SRP) is a universally conserved ribonucleoprotein involved in the co-translational targeting of proteins to membranes.
Source: RNAcentral